Vigna angularis (adzuki bean) is the source of this 1760-nucleotide long non-coding RNA. RefSeq lists it as uncharacterized. NCBI's taxonomy places the organism in Eukaryota, Viridiplantae, Streptophyta, Magnoliopsida, Fabales, Fabaceae. The record is from RefSeq and is a predicted model, not a curated record. The transcript is spliced from 2 exons.
UCUAACCCAAAGCUAAAAAUUAAACUCCUUUCACCCGCAUUUCUCCAACAUGCUCCCCAAUCAGAAAACCUAAAAACCUCAUUUUCCCCGAAGCCAAAAGCAGAAACAGAUCUAACCCCAUGAAACAAUGCCGCCAGCCACAAGACCCCACCUUUGAAUCUGGAACCUCCAUGCAGGCUCCUCCGAUCUGCGAGGCUCAUAAAAGGGGGCAACCAAAACGCCGCAAAAUCAAAGGGAAGAGGGGAGAAAGAAAACUCAGGAUAAAGAAGCUUCACAUUUUUUAGCCAUAUUUCUUUCUCGCUUCCAUGUGUUUUACUUCAUUGUAGAAGUAUUCUACUGUUCUUGCAAUUGUCUUUGUAACUGAAUUUUUUGUGUGGCUAAUUCCACCAAAUUCAAAAAUAUCUUCCUCACCCUGUUAUAAAUCGAGUAUACCUCUCCAAAAUUUUCCUUCUGUGUUCCAAAGAAAUAUCUGUUUCACUAUUUCAGGAAUAUGCUUCUUGGCAAACUAAGUAGCAAUUUGCUGAAUCCAAUCCCAAAUUAUACCACAUUAAUACUUGUUCGAAUAAAGAAAAAUGAUUUGAUUUUAGCUUGGGAAAUAAGAAUGUCACUCAAUUCUUAUUUACCAAUGUGUAGUGAUUCUUAAUUAAUAUUCAUUUGUUAUCAUGAAUGAAACGUUUCGUCUCAAAUUUAGUAUGUAAAUUCGUUAUCAAAUAUAUGUUUUCCAUAUCAAGGUACUAAUUAGAACAAACAAAUAUAGGAUUAAGCUUGACGUAUGUUUGAUUUAUCAAAUAGAAGCUCCCUUUAUUGAAUUUUUUGAAGUCAUCGUUUUCUUGUUGAUCUUGUUGAACUGCAACACCAUAGAUCCAGAUCAGGGCUCUUCGAGAAGCAGGAAGGUAGUGACAUACACGAAAUCCCUUAUUUCUCUGAAUGUUUUCUGCCAUCUGGACAACAAACAAAACGAAGACAGCACACCUUCUCGACUUCUCUCGCGUCAAUAUGUAAGUCUCUUCACUCCUCAUUUUUCCUAUUCUUCAUCUUCUUUUUUCCAGUCCAUUCAUUUUCCCGCCUGAUUCACCUCCAAUCUCUGCUUUACAGUUCAAGAAACACUUAACUGCUGCAACUUAACCACAAUAUAUAUUAACCGCCAGGUUCAUCUCUAAUCUCCCUGUUCUUCCCAAGAGGUCAACCAUGCAUCCAUAAUUCCAAGUCACAACAUUUCUCUCAGGCAUUGUAUCGAACAUCUUUCGUGCAUCUCUAGUAGCGUCACCAAAUCAAACACGAUGGUGCACCUCCUCCCGGCCCAAGGCGUCACCGGCGACACCGCACUCCGCAACUUCCCCCUGCACGUGAAAAGCGCGAUCGAACAACCUCAUCUUUGGAAGAAGGUGAGUGGACGAAGGGAAGAGGUUGGAGCGGUAAACAAAUAUGCAAACUAGGGUUUGGGGCUUGGAGGAAAGGGAAGAGACCACAAUGCCAAGAGUUUGCGAGGAAGAUUAAAAGUUCUUCAAGUACCACUUAAUUAAUUUCGAUUUUGUUCAAACUUGGAAAGAUAUAUUGAAUAUCACGUAUACUUCAAAAUAACAUGUACUUCAAAAUAACAUGUGAAGGUACUUAUAACCAUCAUAUGUACUUAAAAGUGACUUUUUAUAUUCCUAACCAUCUUCUUCUCUGGUUCUAGAUUAUUAGGUUAUAAUCUUUAAAAUUUACAAGCUCCUUUGCUUUUGUGUCUUCCUACUUAUUUUAGUUUUGUUCUUGUAAAA